This 253-nucleotide ribosomal RNA is filed under the name uncultured bacterium. Its description in RNAcentral is "partial 16S ribosomal RNA". It matches the Rfam family "Bacterial small subunit ribosomal RNA", at positions 524 to 776 of the family's 1533-position model. The record is from RNAcentral.
UACGUAGGGUGCGAGCGUUAAUCGGAAUUACUGGGCGUAAAGCGUGCGCAGGCGGUUGGUUAAGUCUGAUGUGAAAGCCCCGGGCUCAACCUGGGAAUGGCAUUGGAAACUGGCUGGCUAGAGUGUGGCAGAGGGGGGUGGAAUUCCGCGUGUAGCAGUGAAAUGCGUAGAGAUGCGGAGGAACACCGAUGGCGAAGGCAGCCCCCUGGGCUAGCACUGACGCUCAGGCACGAAAGCGUGGGGAGCAAACGGG